GAGAGUUGGUUUAACUGCCCGAACUAUGGCGGAAUAUUUCCGAGAUGUUAAUAAGCAAGACGUGCUUUUAUUCAUCGAUAAUAUCUUUCGUUUUGUUCAAGCAGGAUCGGAGUUAUAGAUCCCUUUUUAGUAGAAGCAAUUCUUUCUUGCAAAGAACCCAUUUCUGUACUAAGAGUAGGUUGAUAACCCACCGCGGAGGGCAUUCUCCCUAAUAAAGCGGAUACCUCCGAUCCUGCUUGAACAAAACGAAAGAUAUUAUCGAUGAAUAAAAGCACGUCUUGCUUAUUAACAUCUCGGAAAUAUUCCGCCAUAGUUAGGGAAGUUAAACCAACUCUCAUACGAGCUCCCGGUGGUUCAUUCAUUUGGCCAUAGACUAGAGCUACCUUUGAUUCCUCAAUAUUUUUUUCAUUAAUUACUCCGGAUUCCCUCAUU
This is a long non-coding RNA of Brachypodium distachyon (stiff brome), 432 nucleotides long. RefSeq lists it as uncharacterized. The transcript is spliced from 2 exons. The record is from RefSeq and is a predicted model, not a curated record. Lineage: Eukaryota; Viridiplantae; Streptophyta; Magnoliopsida; Poales; Poaceae.